GACGAACGCUGGCGGCGUGCUUAACACAUGCAAGUCGAACGGAAAGGCCCUGCUUGCAGGGUACUCGAGUGGCGAACGGGUGAGUAACACGUGGGUGAUCUGCCCUGCACUUCGGGAUAAGCUUUGGAAACUGGGUCUAAUACCGGAUAGGAGCCAUCUUUAGUGUGGUGGUUGGAAAGUUUUUUCGGUGUAGGAUGAGCUCGCGGCCUAUCAGCUUGUUGGUGGGGUAAUGGCCUACCAAGGCGGCGACGGGUAGCCGGCCUGAGAGGGUGUACGGCCACAUUGGGACUGAGAUACGGCCCAGACUCCUACGGGAGGCAGAAGUGGGGAAUAUUGCACAAUGGGCGCAAGCCUGAUGCAGAGACGCCGCGUGGGGGAUGAAGGCCUUCGGGUUGUAAACUCCUUUCGCUAGGGACGAAGCUUUGUUGUGACGGUACCUAGAUAAGAAGCACCGGCUAACUACGUG
Molecule: ribosomal RNA, 466 nt
Filed under: uncultured bacterium
Lineage: Bacteria
Description: partial 16S ribosomal RNA
Rfam family: Bacterial small subunit ribosomal RNA
Source: RNAcentral